Molecule: ribosomal RNA, 253 nt
Filed under: uncultured bacterium
Lineage: Bacteria
Description: partial 16S ribosomal RNA
Rfam family: Bacterial small subunit ribosomal RNA
Source: RNAcentral
UACGUAGGGACCGAGCGUUAUCCGGAUUCAUUGGGCGUAAAGAGCUCGUAGGCGGCUAUUCAAGUCGAACGUGAAAUCUCGGGGCUCAACUCCGAGCCUGCGUUCGAUACUGGGUAGCUAGAGUCUGGUAGGGGGAUCUGGAAUUCCUGGUGUAGCGGUGGAAUGCGCAGAUAUCAGGAGGAACACCGGUGGCGAAGGCGGGAUCCUGGGCCAGUACUGACGCUGAGGAGCGAAAGCGUGGGGAGCAAACGGG